AAAAAGAUAAGCUAAAAAAGCUAAUAGGUUCAUACCCUGUUUAUGAAGAUACAAAUUCUCUUUUUA
RNAcentral lists this transfer RNA (66 nucleotides) under Tenebrionoidea sp. 14 KM-2017. Its description in RNAcentral is "tRNA-Met". The record is from RNAcentral. Lineage: Eukaryota; Metazoa; Arthropoda; Insecta; Coleoptera.